GAGGAAACGAUUAGAGCCGUUUCUAGUUAUUUUGAUGGAAAGAAGGCAUUUUAUCAUGUAUCCCUUUACUUGGUAAAGGGCAAACGAACGACUAAGUUGAUUGGGAGUUUUAAACUGACUUGGGAGUUUUAAAUGUAACAAAAUACAAACUGAAAGUUACAAUAAUGGUUUCAUUCACGCCAAAGCAAGGUAUAGAUACAUGCCGCAUGUGGCCAGUAGGGGUCCAUGUAUGUGCUUUCAUAUUUUGCCUGUAGUAUGUUUGUCUACAGCAACAAUUUCGGACAAGUAACUGCAUAGAAGUAGCACUGCUAUUUUAAUAAUUACUCUAAUCCCAAACUGCAAAUUGCUUUAAAAACACCGUUCUCUUGUAUUUUUGUUUACUACAGAUCGCCUCUGUUAAAAGCAUGAUUAAUGCAUGACACAAUGUCAAAACAGCAUUUAAAAUGGUCAAGUUUUUUCUAGAAUCUUUUUUUGGUACUAUUUAUGUAAUUGUUAAACCGUGUUUUUUUACGAGUUGUGUAUACUAACUACCGUUUAUUUAAUGUUCUCAAACUUGUAUUAUUAUAUAUAUAUAUUAGGGAGGGAGAACACGAGGCAACUUAAGCACAUAAUAUCCAAAUAUCCUGAUCGUGUUUUAAACAAUUAACAACGGUCUAUGGGGGCCAUGGGAUACGGUUUUAUAAUUCUGUGAAUGUUCUUUGUUUACUAAAGGUGUCCCAUCUUCCCCACCCUACUAUAUAAAAAAAUGUUGUUUUAAUACCAUACUAACUGAAUAAACACACAUACGUGACGUAAUGUAUACACAAAAAACUUGGUGUAUUAAAAUCAACACAUGGCAGGACAUCAUUGCAAAAUCUUGUUGCUGAUACAAAUCAGUACAUAGCAACAUGAACGUUUACAUGAUUUGAUUAUUCCACUGUAUUGUAACUUUCACAAGUAAAAAAAAAG
Molecule: non-coding RNA, 948 nt
Organism: Ciona intestinalis (vase tunicate)
Lineage: Eukaryota; Metazoa; Chordata; Ascidiacea; Phlebobranchia; Cionidae
Source: RefSeq, a predicted model, not a curated record